RNAcentral lists this ribosomal RNA (255 nucleotides) under uncultured bacterium. RNAcentral's name for it is "partial 16S ribosomal RNA". It matches the Rfam family "Bacterial small subunit ribosomal RNA", at positions 524 to 776 of the family's 1533-position model. The record is from RNAcentral.
GACAGAGGUGGCAAGCGUUGUUCGGAUUUACUGGGCGUAAAGAGCGCGUGUAGGCGGCCCUGCAAGUCGGAUGUGAAAUCCCACGGCUCAACCGUGGAAGUGCAUUCGAAACUGCAGGGCUAGAGUCCUGGAGAGGAAGGUGGAAUGCUUGGUGUAGAGGUGAAAUUCGUAGAUAUCAAGCGGAACACCGGUGGCGAAGGCGGCCUUCUGGACAGUGACUGACGCUGAGACGCGAAAGCGUGGGGAGCAAACAGG